GGUAGGGAGAGGAUUUAAACCUCUGUAUUCAGAGCUACAAGCCGUCGCCUUUCUCUCGGCCAUCC
Molecule: transfer RNA, 65 nt
Filed under: Craugastor augusti (barking frog)
Lineage: Eukaryota; Metazoa; Chordata; Amphibia; Anura; Craugastoridae
Description: tRNA-Trp
Source: RNAcentral